Manis javanica (Malayan pangolin) is the source of this 162-nucleotide non-coding RNA. NCBI's taxonomy places the organism in Eukaryota, Metazoa, Chordata, Mammalia, Pholidota, Manidae. The record is from RefSeq and is a predicted model, not a curated record.
AUACUUGCUUGGCAGCAGAGAUAUCAUGAUUAUGAAAGGGCAUCUUUCCAGGACAAGGCUUAUUCACUGCACUUGAAUCUGCUGACCUCUGUGAUUUUUCAAAAUAUGGGAAACUCCACAACAUUAUUUGUGAAAGUAGGGGACUGCAUUCACACUUUCCAG